Molecule: ribosomal RNA, 450 nt
Filed under: uncultured bacterium
Lineage: Bacteria
Description: bacterial SSU rRNA
Rfam family: Bacterial small subunit ribosomal RNA
Source: RNAcentral
GUAGGGAAUAUUGCGCAAUGGGCGAAAGCCUGACGCAGCAACGCCGCGUGGGUGACGAAGCUCCUUGGAGUGUAAAACCCUGUCGCCGGGGAAGAAACGGUCGUUCAGGAAAUGGGACGGCCCUGACGGUACCCGGAGAGGAAGUUCCGGCUAACUCCGUGCCAGCAGCCGCGGUAACACGGGGGGAACGAGCGUUGUUCGGAUUUACUGGGCGUAAAGGGUGCGUAGGCGGGUCGGUCAGUCGGGUGUGAAAACCCGCGGCUUAACCGCGGGCUGGCAUUCGAAACUGCCGGUCUUGAGUACGGGAGAGGGAAGUGGAAUUCCUGGUGUAGCGGUGAAAUGCGUAGAUAUCAGGAGGAACACCGUUGGCGAAGGCGGCUUCCUGGACCGAUACUGACGCUGAGGCACGAAGGCCGGGGGAGCAAACAGGAUUAGAUACCCCGGUAGUCC